CGACCUGUCGUCCAAUUGGUUAGGAUACCUGACUUUGACUCAGGUGAUAAAGGUUCAAGUCCUUUCAGGUCGU
Molecule: transfer RNA, 73 nt
Organism: Microscilla marina ATCC 23134
Lineage: Bacteria; Pseudomonadati; Bacteroidota; Cytophagia; Cytophagales; Microscillaceae
Rfam family: tRNA
About the family: Transfer RNA (tRNA) molecules are approximately 80 nucleotides in length. Their secondary structure includes four short double-helical elements and three loops (D, anti-codon, and T loops). Further hydrogen bonds mediate the characteristic L-shaped molecular structure. tRNAs have two regions of fundamental functional importance: the anti-codon, which is responsible for specific mRNA codon recognition, and the 3' end, to which the tRNAs corresponding amino acid is attached (by aminoacyl-tRNA synthetases). tRNAs cope with the degeneracy of the genetic code in two manners: having more than one tRNA (with a specific anti-codon) for a particular amino acid; and 'wobble' base-pairing, i.e. permitting non-standard base-pairing at the 3rd anti-codon position.
Source: Rfam